Molecule: long non-coding RNA, 408 nt
Organism: Gasterosteus aculeatus aculeatus (three-spined stickleback)
Lineage: Eukaryota; Metazoa; Chordata; Actinopteri; Perciformes; Gasterosteidae
Source: Ensembl
UUAAAGUAUGGUUUAAUGCCAGCUCCUUAAAGGCUCCAUAAAGGCUCCUUAAAGGCUCCAUGAAGCCUCCUUAAAGGCUCCAUAAAGGCUCCAUAAAGGCUCCUUAAAGGCUCCAUAAAGGCUACUUAAAGGCUCCAUAAAGCAUCCUUAAAGGCUCCAUAAAGGCUCCAUAAAGCCUCCUUAAAGGCUCCAUAAAGGCUCCUUAAAGGCUCCAUAAAGGCUACUUAAAGGCUCCAUAAAGCCUCCUUAAAGGCUCCAUAAAGGCUACUUAAAGGCUCCAUAAAGCCUCCCUAAAGGCUCCUUGAAGCCUCCUUAAAUGCUUCAUAAAACCUACAUAGAGGCUCCAUAGCUUUAACCAAAAAUCAUCCCAAACAACUGUCUGAAGCUGCUGGAAUAACCUGGAGGACU